This 164-nucleotide ribosomal RNA is filed under the name uncultured bacterium. RNAcentral describes it as "partial 16S rRNA". It matches the Rfam family "Bacterial small subunit ribosomal RNA", at positions 355 to 511 of the family's 1533-position model. The record is from RNAcentral.
UAGGGAAUCUUCCACAAUGGACGCAAGUCUGAUGGAGCAACGCCGCGUGAGUGAAGAAGAUCUUCGGAUCGUAAAACUCUGUUGUUAGAGAAGAACACGAGUGAGAGUAACUGUUCAUUCGAUGACGGUAUCUAACCAGCAAGUCACGGCUAACUACGUGCUAG